CAGUCGCCGCGGUAAUACGGAGGGAGCUAGCGUUGUUCGGAAUUACUGGGCGUAAAGCGCGCGUAGGCGGUUACUCAAGUCAGAGGUGAAAGCCCGGGGCUCAACCCCGGAACUGCCUUUGAAACUAGGUGACUAGAAUCUUGGAGAGGUCAGUGGAAUUCCGAGUGUAGAGGUGAAAUUCGUAGAUAUUCGGAAGAACACCAGUGGCGAAGGCGACUGACUGGACAAGUAUUGACGCUGAGGUGCGAAAGCGUGGGGAGCAAACAGGAUUAGAUACCCGUGUAGUCCCUGUCUCUUAUAA
This 301-nucleotide ribosomal RNA is filed under the name uncultured bacterium. RNAcentral's name for it is "partial 16S ribosomal RNA". It matches the Rfam family "Bacterial small subunit ribosomal RNA", at positions 509 to 809 of the family's 1533-position model. The record is from RNAcentral.